RNAcentral lists this long non-coding RNA (791 nucleotides) under Cercocebus atys (sooty mangabey). RNAcentral describes it as "lncRNA (ENSCATG00000045749.1)". Lineage: Eukaryota; Metazoa; Chordata; Mammalia; Primates; Cercopithecidae. The record is from RNAcentral.
CAAAUGUAACCAGGAGUUCUUUUAUUUUUAUUUGCUAAAUCUGGAAACUCACAAAGGAGGUGGGAUGAUGGCAUUGCCAGCAUCCUCAGGCUACCAACGACACCAGGAACCUUCCCGGCAGCAUCUUAUGCUCCCCCUGACGUGGGCCAGGCCACGACGCCAAAGUGCAGGCCGGCAAAAGCCAGUAUCCUGGGCCAGGAGGACCUCAGGAACCCAGGAUCUGAUCACUACGGCCCUUGGUUUAUGCCGUAUGCUCACGACUGGGCCAGUGUGUUUCUUCUUAUGUGCGUAUGUGUAUAAUAAACCCUGUGAGCCGACCACCAACACGAGAACCACAGCAUCGUCCAUCACUUGCUUCUACUGAGGGCCUGUGCUCUCCCUCACCCAGGUGACCACACUCCUGAAUCCUGCAUUUAAACUAAAAGGACAACUAUAUAGUUUUUCAUAUGUAGGUAUUUGAAAAGGUAUGAUGUUUAGUUUUACUGUUUUUUAAAUUUCAUUUUUCGUUUCUCUUUCCAUCGUUCCUGGAACCAUGUUGAGUCAGGCUUGCUGUGACGCCAGCAAGAUGGGUGAGCAGAGGGUCUGCACAGUGAGUGGCGAGCUGGGGUCUGAACCCCAGCCUGUGCAGCUCUGCGGCUGCGCUCCCUUAGCUCUGGGCAGCUGGUGCCCCGAUCAGCUCCAGUGGGCAGGCUGGGUCUGCCUCGCCCAACACAGAAUCACCAGGGGCUGGUGCAUGGAAGGUGCCUAUUUGUUGAGUGAAAUCGUUUCCUGAUGUCUACACAUAUCAGAAU